Molecule: ribosomal RNA, 325 nt
Filed under: Bacillus cereus
Lineage: Bacteria; Bacillati; Bacillota; Bacilli; Caryophanales; Bacillaceae
Description: bacterial SSU rRNA
Rfam family: Bacterial small subunit ribosomal RNA
Source: RNAcentral
CUUCCGCAAUGGACGAAAGUCUGACGGAGCAACGCCGCGUGAGUGAUGAAGGCUUUCGGGUCGUAAAACUCUGUUGUUAGGGAAGAACAAGUGCUAGUUGAAUAAGCUGGCACCUUGACGGUACCUAACCAGAAAGCCACGGCUAACUACGUGCCAACAGCCGCGGUAAUACGUAGGUGGCAAGCGUUAUCCGGAAUUAUUGGGCGUAAAGCGCGCGCAGGUGGUUUCUUAAGUCUGAUGUGAAAGCCCACGGCUCAACCGUGGAGGGUCAUUGGAAACUGGGAGACUUGAGUGCAGAAGAGGAAAGUGGAAUUCCAUGUGUAGC